GUGAAUCCCUUGGCUCAACCAGGAAGGGCAUCUGAAACUGUCUGGCUUGAGUACGGGAGGGGGAAGUGGAAUUCCCGGUGUAGAGGUGAAAUUCGUAGAUAUCGGGAGGAACACCAGUGGCGAAGGCGGUCACCUGGACGAACACUGACGCUGAGACGCGAAAGCGUGGGUAGCAAACAGGAUUAGAUACCCUGGUAGUCCACGCCGUAAACGAUGAGUGCUAGCUGUUGCGGGUAUUGACCCCUGCAGUGCCAAGGGCGAAUUCCACAGUG
This 272-nucleotide ribosomal RNA is filed under the name uncultured bacterium. RNAcentral describes it as "partial 16S ribosomal RNA". It matches the Rfam family "Bacterial small subunit ribosomal RNA", at positions 594 to 866 of the family's 1533-position model. The record is from RNAcentral.